CAGUCGCCACGGUAAUACGAAGGGGGCUAGCGUUGCUCGGAAUGACUGGGCGUAAAGGGCGCGUAGGCGGCGGCCAAAGUCAGGCGUGAAAUUCCCGGGCUCAACCUGGGGGCUGCGUUUGAUACUUGGUUGCUUGAGUGGGGAAGAGGGUCGUGGAAUUCCCAGUGUAGAGGUGAAAUUCGUAGAUAUUGGGAAGAACACCGGUGGCGAAGGCGGCGACCUGGUCCUUUACUGACGCUGAGGCGCGAAAGCGUGGGGAGCAAACAGGAUUAGAUACCCCGGUAGUCCCUGUCUCUUAUCC
RNAcentral lists this ribosomal RNA (301 nucleotides) under uncultured bacterium. RNAcentral's name for it is "partial 16S ribosomal RNA". It matches the Rfam family "Bacterial small subunit ribosomal RNA", at positions 509 to 809 of the family's 1533-position model. The record is from RNAcentral.